Molecule: ribosomal RNA, 253 nt
Filed under: uncultured bacterium
Lineage: Bacteria
Description: partial 16S ribosomal RNA
Rfam family: Bacterial small subunit ribosomal RNA
Source: RNAcentral
UACGUAGGGGGCGAGCGUUGUUCGGAUUUACUGGGCGUAAAGGGCGCGCAGGCGGCUCAUUUUGUCAGGCGUGAAAGCCCCGGGCUUAACCUGGGAACUGCGUUUGAUACGGAUGGGCUAGAGUUCGGGAGAGGAGAGUGGAAUUCCCAGUGUAGAGGUGAAAUUCGUAGAUAUUGGGAAGAACACCGGUGGCGAAGGCGGCUCUCUGGACCGAUACUGACGCUGAGGCGCGAAAGCGUGGGGAGCAAACAGG